UAGGGAAUCUUCCACAAUGGACGAAAGUCUGAUGGAGCAACGCCGCGUGAGUGAAGAAGGGUUUCGGCUCGUAAAACUCUGUUGUUAAAGAAGAACAUAUCUGAGAGUAACUGUUCAGGUAUUGACGGUAUUUAACCAGAAAGCCACGGCUAACUACGUGCCAGCAGCCGCGGUAAUACGUAGGUGGCAAGCGUUGUCCGGAUUUAUUGGGCGUAAAGCGGGCGCAGGCGGUUUUUUAAGUCUGAUGUGAAAGCCUUCGGCUCAACCGAAGAAGUGCAUCGGAAACUGGGAAACUUGAGUGCAGAAGAGGACAGUGGAACUCCAUGUGUAGCGGUGAAAUGCGUAGAUAUAUGGAAGAACACCAGUGGCGAAGGCGGCUGUCUGGUCUGUAACUGACGCUGAGGCUCGAAAGUAUGGGUAGCAAACAGG
RNAcentral lists this ribosomal RNA (429 nucleotides) under bacterium. RNAcentral's name for it is "partial 16S ribosomal RNA". It matches the Rfam family "Bacterial small subunit ribosomal RNA", at positions 355 to 776 of the family's 1533-position model. The record is from RNAcentral.